This is a long non-coding RNA of Spinacia oleracea (spinach), 919 nucleotides long. RefSeq lists it as uncharacterized. The transcript is spliced from 4 exons. The record is from RefSeq and is a predicted model, not a curated record. Lineage: Eukaryota; Viridiplantae; Streptophyta; Magnoliopsida; Caryophyllales; Amaranthaceae.
AUAGGUCCCUAUGUGAGUAUACUAGUAUAUAUGAGAAUGAAUCUAAUCCGUAGGAUUAGAUGAAAAUCAACGGCUAGGAUUAAAAGCAAGUAAUGGAAAUAAUUUAAAUAACCUCCCACACACCAAAUAAUAAAAAAUAAAAAAACAGACGUUUCUCUCUCUAAAAAUAUUGUACAGCCUCUCCCAAAUUCAACCCCCUUCUCUCCUCUAAAAACUGUCAUUAAAGCUUCAAAAAUUGUCGAUGAAGCUUCAAUUCACUCGAUUUAGUCGUUGAUUUCAAAUAGUUCUUGGUGAAUUCUUCUAUAUCUCUUCUCUUCUUCAACAGUUUCGUCUAUUUUAACCUAAUUUUUUGUAUUCGUUUAAGAUUGGAGAUGAAGGAAGCAGAAAAAUCCAAAAAAACAAGCCGAAAAAGCUAGGAACGAAGAAGUGUAAGGAAAAUUAUGAAAAAGAAGAUGAAAUUGUGUAAAAACGGAAGAAAAACACAUAUCACAUUCAGAAGAUCGCGAAGAAUCUUAUAGAAAAUUCAAAUGUCGGAAAUGAGAUCAAACGCGCCCAAACAACAGAGUUAUAUCGCACUGGUAGUUCUAUUGCCGAACAAGCACUUGUGAAUGACGUCCUUGUAAAUGUUGGUUUGAGCAAAUGAAGAGAUUGAGGCUUGAGUAUUGUGGCGAGAUAUUGGCACACAAGAAAAAUGAUGAACAUCAUGUUAUGGUUCCGAGUUAAGGAAAUGGGAAACAAAGAAUCAAAUUUAACGGGAUCAUAAUGUCUUUGUAACAUCAAAUGUUGAAUUUCUUGUAAAUACUUUAUGUUGAAUUCGUAAAAUUAGUAAACCAUCAAUUUAUAUUGGAUGGUUUUGAUCAACUUGUAAUAGAUUCAUUUGCUUGAAGUUUAAUUUGACUAAUAGACUUGUAAUGUGAUA